AAAUAAGAAGCAAAUUUUGCAUUUAGUUUCGACCUAAAAAUUUGAUAUUCUAAGUAUCCUUAUUUA
This 66-nucleotide transfer RNA is filed under the name Curculionidae sp. 1 AH-2016. RNAcentral describes it as "tRNA-Arg". The record is from RNAcentral. Lineage: Eukaryota; Metazoa; Arthropoda; Insecta; Coleoptera; Curculionidae.